CCUACGGGAGGCAGCAGUGGGGAAUAUUGGACAAUGGGGGGAACCCUGAUCCAGCCAUGCCGCGUGUGUGAAGAAGGCCCUCGGGUUGUAAAGCACUUUCAGUGAGGAAGAACGCCUGGUGGUUAAUACCCAUCAGGAAAGACAUCACUCACAGAAGAAGCACCGGCUAACUCCGUGCCAGCAGCCGCGGUAAUACGGAGGGUGCGAGCGUUAAUCGGAAUUACUGGGCGUAAAGCGCGCGUAGGUGGCUUGAUAAGCCGGUUGUGAAAGCCCCAGGCUCAACCUGGGAACGGCAUCCGGAACUGUCAAGCUAGAGUGCAGGAGAGGAAGGUAGAAUUCCCGGUGUAGCGGUGAAAUGCGUAGAGAUCGGGAGGAAUACCAGUGGCGAAGGCGGCCUUCUGGACUGACACUGACACUGAGGUGCGAAAGCGUGGGUAGCAAACAGGAUUAGAUACCCCAGUAGUC
This 465-nucleotide ribosomal RNA is filed under the name Vreelandella stevensii. Its description in RNAcentral is "partial 16S ribosomal RNA". It matches the Rfam family "Bacterial small subunit ribosomal RNA", at positions 338 to 795 of the family's 1533-position model. Lineage: Bacteria; Pseudomonadati; Pseudomonadota; Gammaproteobacteria; Oceanospirillales; Halomonadaceae. The record is from RNAcentral.